CAGACAGGGAUUGAGAAGAGGAAAUACCACCACUGUGCAGCCAAACUGUGCUGAGGACUGAUUGAAAGAAACUGCUGCUCCAGAUGUUGCUCUAGCCAGCUUGCAAAGUGUGAGCAGGAACAGACUGACUCCAUCAACUGGGCUCUCCCAGUUUAGAGACAAGACUGCUUGAAGCAAUUAGGUUCACCAAUUAACAUAGUUUUACUGACCGGGGCAACAGCAGCGCUGGCUCCUCAGAUUAUCCGAUUCUUCAAAGUCCCGGGAAAACGGAGGAAAACAUGCUUCCCAGGUGUGCCAGGCAGGAGACGAUCCUACAAACAGGUUCAUUUUUCUAAUGAAAACCAUAGGACUGUGUCUACACUGGCAAGAUGAAGUAAAGAACCAAGUAAUCUGGUAAAUAAAUCAUCAUCAUUUUGACUCUUCAUCUUGCCAAACUAUUUCAAUAGACCAAGCUGAAUGCUCAGUGGUGAUGACUCUUUCCUGCCAAAUGUUACCAAUAAUGCACAAGUCAACAGCCCUGGAGAUGGUGGGUCACAAAGGUUGGAGGAAAAGGGAUCAAGCAAGGAACUUCAUCAAGUUUUUAAACUAGGAAAUGAAGGAGGUGCACACAAUGUCUUCUGAGAUCCCUUCCAGCACUACAACUGUGAAUGGAAGAUCCAAUGGAUUGGAUUCGUCACAAAGCAUAUUCUUCAAAGAAAAACUCAAGAAUCAUAUUUAUUACCUGAAGAAUGGGAAGUCAUUUGCCAUUCUCUUCCCUUUUUAAGAUCUCUUGAGAGCAUGAACACACACGUAUGAGACAAAUUGUAAAAGUCUCAUCAGCUGGGGAGAGGGGAUCUCUCCUUUGAAGCUAGCUCCUGUUUCUCUGAAAUGAGAUUCCGUAUUCCCAGGCCUCUACUCUGCAGUCCCAGCACAAACACACACGCCAACAGCUGCACAGCACUUUAAAGAGGGAGCAAGAAGCUAUCAAGCAAUUACUUAUUCCAUUUUAGAUCCACAUCCAUGAUUUUUACUUCCAGAGGGUUAGGGAGGGGAGAAGGAGAGAGGUAAAGAAUAAGAUGAGGUAAAUACCCAUCUAGAAAUGUGUGUAACAUAGGAAAGUAUGAAUUUAAUUGGAAAGAUAAAAUUCCAUCAGUGGGGGAUGUAGGGAAAAGACUAUCACAUUCUAUAAAUAAAACUAUACAGAAUGUGUAAACUAGUGAAUCUGGCACUAACUUUCCUUUUGAGAUAAGCGAGGGGCAUUCUAUGAUUCUGGUGAGUCCAUUUUCCAGUGAGGCUCAUGCAAUUAUUCUAAAUGAAGCAGUAAGAUCUCUUUAUAGAGCUAUGCGGGAGUCAGAUUAGUCUAUCUUAGUAUCUGGAGGACUGCUGGGGAGGACUGAUGGCUUAAUACUCUGUACUGAAGCUCAACUUGUCAAAUAACUCCAAGUAUUUUACCAGCUCAGCUCCUUCCAGACAGGCCACACAAUGUUGAGGGAGUCAACAAUCAAGAGACUGGUGGGUGACUUCCAGUUCUUCUACUAACUUGCCAUGUGACUUUGGACUAAUUACUUAGGCUUUCUGAAUGUCAGUUUCCUCCUCUGAGACAUGAAUGGGGACCAUAGAAUUUCAAGAUGGGAAGGGUGUUUAGAGAUAAUCUAAUAACUCCCUCAUUUUACCAAGGAGGAAGUUGAGACCCAGAGAGGUUAUAAUAUUUUACUAUUUACUUUACUGUCUUCUCAUGAAGAUCAAAGGAAAUGCUUCUUUCAAAUACUUUGUUCACCUUAAGUGUCUUACAGAAAAAAUUUUACUCUACUCAGAUGAAGGAAUAGCCCAGUUAGGCUAAACACUUUUGCCAGUGUCCACUAAUAAGCUGGGAGGUACAUUAGAAACUGAUCUCAGAUAAUG
Long non-coding RNA from Dromiciops gliroides (monito del monte), 1881 nucleotides. RefSeq lists it as uncharacterized. The transcript is spliced from 8 exons. The record is from RefSeq and is a predicted model, not a curated record. NCBI's taxonomy places the organism in Eukaryota, Metazoa, Chordata, Mammalia, Microbiotheria, Microbiotheriidae.